RNAcentral lists this unclassified non-coding RNA (325 nucleotides) under Hevea brasiliensis (rubber tree). The record is from RNAcentral. Lineage: Eukaryota; Viridiplantae; Streptophyta; Magnoliopsida; Malpighiales; Euphorbiaceae.
GCUUCCGAACUUGCAAGUCAACGCCGUAACAACUAUUCUCAACCUCUCCAUCCUUGAGGCAAACAAAACAAGGAUAAUGGAAACUGACGGAGCUAUAAACAGCGUUAUUGAGGUGCUACGGUCGGGUGCCACGUGGGAGGCAAAGGCCAAUGCGGCGGCCUGCCUUAUUCAGCUUAUCGGGUGUGCACUCAUAUCGGAAGCGACUGGGAAGGAAAACACGCGUCAUAAAGGGACUGAUGGAUUUAGCUAAAAGUGGGAACAAGUGUUCAAAAAAGGACGCUUUGAUGGCGAUUUUGAAUUUGGCGGGAGAUAGAGAAACGGUUGG